Molecule: ribosomal RNA, 207 nt
Filed under: uncultured bacterium
Lineage: Bacteria
Description: partial 16S ribosomal RNA
Rfam family: Bacterial small subunit ribosomal RNA
Source: RNAcentral
UCCGUAGACUGUAUUGUAAGUUAUUCGUUAAAUCCUAAAGCCUAACUUUAGAAAAGCAUUUAAUACUACUAUACUUGAGUUUUUUGUCAGAAGAGUAGAAUUUCAUGUCGAGGAGUAACGACUGCAGACACAUGAAGGAAUAUCAGCAGCGAAGGCGGCUCUUUGGUAAAAACUGACGUUGAGGGACGAAAGUGUAGGUAGCAAACA